Molecule: ribosomal RNA, 407 nt
Filed under: uncultured eukaryote
Lineage: Eukaryota
Description: bacterial SSU rRNA
Rfam family: Eukaryotic small subunit ribosomal RNA
Source: RNAcentral
UGAAACUGCGAAUGGCUCAUUAAAUCAGAAAUUGUUUAUUUGAUAAUACCUUACUACUCGGAUAACUGUAGUAAUUCUAGAGCUAAUACGUGCUAAAAGUUUCAUCUCGAAAGGGGUGAAAUGUAUUUAUUAGAUAAAAAACCAAUGCAUGGGGUAACUCAUGGUCAUUGUUGAAUCAUAAAAACUUUGCGAAUCGCAUAGCUUUAAGCUGGCGAUGAAUCAUUCAAAUUUCUGCCCUAUCAACUUUCGAUGGUAGUGUAGUGGACUACCAUGGUCGUAACGGGUGACGGAGAAUUAGGGUUCGGUUCCGGAGAGGGAGCCUGAGAGACGGCUACCACUUCCAAGGAAGGCAGCAGGCGCGCAAAUUACCCAAUGGCAAUACGCCGAGGUAGUGACAAUAAAUAACA